GCAGGAGCCACCUGUCACCGGAUGGACUACUAUCUCAAACAAGACAGAACGGGAUGCAUUUGGCCACUGAGGAGCGCUCCCGAGAUUGUGCCGGGGAUCGCUGAAAGGACAAGACGUGUGGGCAGAAGAGACCUGAGCUGGCGCCCCAUGGACUUUUUGCAUUCCCAGAUGAGGAUGCGA
Nothoprocta perdicaria is the source of this 180-nucleotide long non-coding RNA. RefSeq lists it as uncharacterized. The record is from RefSeq and is a predicted model, not a curated record. The transcript has 3 exons. NCBI's taxonomy places the organism in Eukaryota, Metazoa, Chordata, Aves, Tinamiformes, Tinamidae.